GGUGGAUUGGGGUGGGAUGAUCGCUGAGGUUGGUCAUCAAGUUCAAAAUUUGGAGGCAAGGAGAGGAAAAGCUUCUUUGUGUGUCCUGUUCUCUCCUGCGUGAAAUUCGCAGGGAAAUGAUGACAAGAAAAGGCAUCACAAGACUGGGUUCUCUGCAGAUCGUGGGACAGUCGUGGGACCGUGUCACACGGGAAAACAUAGCGAGCUCAGGCUGAGUUCACCAAGCCCUCACAGAGACUGAGUACUACAGGGAACUGUAGCUCGUCGGGCUCCAGGGCGCGGGAGUGCUCCGCCCCAGGGCGCCACGACCUAGCCCAUUCCCGGAGUGCUUAUCUUUUCUGUCUUUUCCUUCCCCUUCUUGGGCGUCUGCUUUCCCGCCAGACAAAAGGCACAAAGAGGAUGUGUUUCCUCAACUCCUUUUCUAGGAGCUUUUUAUCCAGUUUCUUGUCCGCAGCCUCUACCCCAGGCUGGGUGCCCAGGCGGUCUCCGGAGAGGAGGAGGAGGAGGAGGAGGAGGAGGGGUAGGAAGGAGGAGGAGGGAGCCGAGGAAGACGCGGAGCCUCCACCCGCCAGCCGGGAGCACUUGCAGCAGGUGCAGGAGGCUGGGCCCCGGGUUUGCACUCUGCGGCGGUGCCUGGGCCUCAGGAAGCCGACCCGGGAAGACCCGCCAGCCCGAAAAAAGUGAGCUGGAGAGAGGAAUAGAAGCGCCGGUUUCUGCUUAUUAUUCGCUGUUUCUGAUGGCCAAGAGCAAGGGGCAGUCAAGGCCAUUAAUGCAGAACUGGAAUUCAGCGAGGAGCGCCUCUUCUGCAGACUGCCCCCCGCUAGGGCGCGGGGAGGGCACCGGUUCCUCUGCGCGGAAAGGAGGGGGAGAAAGUCGCUAAGAGAAAAAUCCGGUGUGGCCCAGAUCUCCGGGUGCACAUUCCCGGGAGAGGAGCGCGCCGUUUCCAGCGCGGUGCAGCGCUCCGAGCGGCGGCCACCAGCGACCCAGCGCGCGAGCACAACGCGACCCACGAAGGGGGCUCGCGGGAGGCACCAAGAAGCACCGGCGCAUCAGAGCGGAGAACCCGCAGCCGAACCUUGCCGGGGCGCACCCAGCACCGGGGCGGGGGCCAGGACUUCGCUUCCACCGCAUGGGAUGAGCUGUGCAAGGUGGAGGAAGGCGGCGCAGAGCCGGGGGACGAAGCCCGGACCGGACAGGAAUCCCGGGGAGAAAGAAGGGGGCCCCAGCCUGGCCAGGAGGGGCAUUUUUGUCAGAGGGGGUAUUGGGGGAGUCCCUGAGCGCCGCGGAUUCCAGGGGGGCAGCGCGGACGCCCAUUCCCUGUUCUCCCCCGAGAGAAGCGGUUCCCGUGGGGCAGGAAGGGCUCUCAGCUCUUUGAGAUUGAGAUUCACAGGAAUCUAA
RNAcentral lists this long non-coding RNA (1398 nucleotides) under Canis lupus familiaris (dog). Its description in RNAcentral is "lncRNA (ENSCAFG00040008926.1)". Lineage: Eukaryota; Metazoa; Chordata; Mammalia; Carnivora; Canidae. The record is from RNAcentral.